UGAUAGCGUAGAAGUGUGAGGUUGCUGCAGUUUAAUCUGCAGGUUUUCCAUGGAGCGAAUGUCAAGUUAGAAAACUGGCGACAA
Molecule: regulatory RNA element, 84 nt
Organism: Robinsoniella sp. RHS
Lineage: Bacteria; Bacillati; Bacillota; Clostridia; Lachnospirales; Lachnospiraceae
Rfam family: S10-Clostridia ribosomal protein leader
Source: Rfam